Molecule: ribosomal RNA, 420 nt
Filed under: uncultured bacterium
Lineage: Bacteria
Description: bacterial SSU rRNA
Rfam family: Bacterial small subunit ribosomal RNA
Source: RNAcentral
UAAGGAAUAUUGGUCAAUGGACGCAAGUCUGAACCAGCCAUGCCGCGUGAAGGAUGAUGGUCCUCUGGAUUGUAAACUUCUUUUAUCUGGGACGAAAACGGGAUUUUUAUCUCAAUUGACGGUACCAGAGGAAUAAGCACCGGCUAACUCCGUGCCAGCAGCCGCGGUAAUACGGAGGGUGCGAGCGUUAUCCGGAUUUACUGGGUUUAAAGGGUGCGUAGGUGGGCUUAUAAGUCAGUGGUGAAAUACCGGAGCUUAACUUCGGAACUGCCAUUGAUACUAUAUGUCUUGAAUAUUGUGUAGGUAAGCGGAAUAUGUCAUGUAGCGGUGAAAUGCAUAGAUAUAACAUAGAACACCGAUUGCGGAGGCAGCUUGCUACGCAAAUAUUGACGCUGAGGCACGAAAGCGUGGGGAUCAAAC